RNAcentral lists this ribosomal RNA (460 nucleotides) under uncultured bacterium. RNAcentral's name for it is "partial 16S ribosomal RNA". It matches the Rfam family "Bacterial small subunit ribosomal RNA", at positions 338 to 795 of the family's 1533-position model. The record is from RNAcentral.
CCUACGGGCGGCAGCAGUGAGGAAUAUUGGUCAAUGGGCGCAAGCCUGAACCAGCCAAGUCGCGUGAGGGAAGACGGCCCUACGGGUUGUAAACCUCUUUUGCCGGGAGGCAAGCCUGAGCACGUGUGCACAGGCGGAGCGUCCCCGGCGAAAGAGCAUCGGCUAACUCCGUGCCAGCCGCCGCGGGAAGACGGAGGAUGCGAGCGUUAUUCGGAGUUAUUGGGUUUAAAGGUUGCGCAGGCGGGCUGUUAAGCCGGCGGUAAAAAUUCAGGGCUCAACCCUGUUGGGCCGUCGGAACUGGGAGGCUUGAGGGGGCGAGAGGUAUGCGGGAUGCGGGGUGUAGCGGGGAAAUGCAUAGAUAUCACGCAGAACGCCGAGGGCGAAGGCAGCAGACCGGCGCCCAACUGACGCUGAGGCACGAAAGCGUGGGGAUCGAACAGGAUGAGAGACCCGAGUAGUC